AGCUGAUGCAUAUGGCGGUCUCCUCCCAGUUCCGCCGCAGCAGCUGUUCCCCUCUGGAGUCAAAGAUCUCCACACUUUAUGGGCCGCGGUUACUCCGUCGGCCCUUUCUU
This 110-nucleotide small RNA is filed under the name Beta vulgaris subsp. vulgaris (sugar beet). RNAcentral's name for it is "Alphaproteobacterial ar15". It matches the Rfam family "Alphaproteobacterial ar15". Lineage: Eukaryota; Viridiplantae; Streptophyta; Magnoliopsida; Caryophyllales; Amaranthaceae. The record is from Rfam by way of RNAcentral.